CAUCUAGAGUGACCCGUCGAAAGGUAAUAAACAAUUGAUUGUGUGUGAUAUAACAGAUCGUGUAUGAUAUAACGGUGAACUACAAACUUCCCUAAAUCCACCUUUGUGCUUGUGAAAAGAAGACUGAUUAUUGUUUUCCAUGUUCUUUGAGAACCAUGAGUACAACUUGAGAAUAACAGGUGCUAGUCUUCAUAAAAUAUCAAAUUCUGAGUAACCACUUGUGCAAAUUUUAAAUGCCUAUAUCUAUUUAGAAACAAAGCAACAGUAUUUAUUGCUUUUCAAUUCUGGGAUUACCUGUUAACUCUUCACUGGCUAUCAUGCUUAUCAUUGAUUUUCAUACUUGGCAACAGUACGAACUUCUAGUUCAUUUUAG
Molecule: unclassified non-coding RNA, 373 nt
Filed under: Hevea brasiliensis (rubber tree)
Lineage: Eukaryota; Viridiplantae; Streptophyta; Magnoliopsida; Malpighiales; Euphorbiaceae
Source: RNAcentral